AAAGUCGUAACAAGGUUUCCGUAGGUGAACCUGCGGAAGGAUCAUUAAAAAAAGGAUGUGCUCUGCGCAUAACUCCUCUCACACCCCCCCGCCCGUAAAAAGGCUUGGGGGUUGAAUGAGUCCCUUAACCCUUUGUGAACUUUAUAUCUUAUGCUUCGGCAGCACGCCCUUCUAACCGAGGGUUGGUAAGGCUGCCGAUAGCCCAUUCUAAACUAUUUUAUUUCAAAAUCAUGAAGUCUGAUUACUGUUAAAUUUAAAAACAAGUUAAAACUUUCAGCAACGGAUCUCUUGGUUCUC
This 297-nucleotide unclassified non-coding RNA is filed under the name Ascomycota sp. RNAcentral's name for it is "partial contains small subunit ribosomal RNA, internal transcribed spacer 1, and 5.8S ribosomal RNA". The stretch from base 1 to 47 matches the Rfam family "Eukaryotic small subunit ribosomal RNA", at positions 1785 to 1831 of the family's 1831-position model. Lineage: Eukaryota; Fungi; Ascomycota. The record is from RNAcentral.